This 458-nucleotide ribosomal RNA is filed under the name uncultured bacterium. Its description in RNAcentral is "bacterial SSU rRNA". It matches the Rfam family "Bacterial small subunit ribosomal RNA", at positions 29 to 532 of the family's 1533-position model. The record is from RNAcentral.
AACGAACGCUGGCGGCAGGCCUAACACAUGCAAGUCGAGCGCCCCGCAAGGGGAGCGGCGGACGGGUGAGUAACACGUGGGAAUUUUCCUCAAGGUACGGAACAACUCAGGGAAACUUGGGCUAAUACCGUAUGAUGCAGAGAUGCCAAAGAUUUAUCGCCUUGGGAUAAGCCCGCGUCAGAUUAGGUAGUUGGUGGGGUAAUGGCCUACCAAGCCUGUGAUCUGUAGCUGGUCUGAGAGGACGAUCAGCCACAUUGGGACUGAGACACGGCCCAAACUCCUACGGGAGGCAGCAGUGGGGAAUCUUGCGCAAUGGACGAAAGUCUGACGCAGCCAUGCCGCGUGAAUGAUGAAGGUCUUAGGAUUGUAAAGUUCUUUAGCCUGUGACGAUGAUGACGGUAACAGGAGAAUAAGCCCCGGCUAACUUCGUGCCAGCAGCCGCGGUAAGGCACGACUGU